ACUUGCGCUUUGCGGACAAACU
This 22-nucleotide microRNA is filed under the name Blattella germanica (German cockroach). RNAcentral's name for it is "Bge-Mir-375_5p* (star (passenger))". The record is from RNAcentral. Lineage: Eukaryota; Metazoa; Arthropoda; Insecta; Blattodea; Blattellidae.